This 301-nucleotide ribosomal RNA is filed under the name uncultured bacterium. RNAcentral's name for it is "partial 16S ribosomal RNA". It matches the Rfam family "Bacterial small subunit ribosomal RNA", at positions 509 to 808 of the family's 1533-position model. The record is from RNAcentral.
CAGCCGCCGCGGUAAUACGUAGGUCCCGAGCGUUGUCCGGAUUUAUUGGGCGUGAAGCGAGCGCAGGCGGUUAGAUAAGUCUGAAGUUAAAGGCUGUGGCUUAACCAUAGUACGCUUUGGAAACUGUUUAACUUGAGUGCAAGGGGGGAGAGUGGAAUUCCAUGUGUAGCGGUGAAAUGCGUAGAUAUAUGGAGGAACACCGGUGGCGAAAGCGGCUCUCUGGCUUGUAACUGACGCUGAGGCUCGAAAGCGUGGGGAGCAAACAGGAUUAGAUACCCGCGUAGUCCCUGUCUCUUAUACA